AAAUUGAAGAGUUUGAUCAUGGCUCAGAUUGAACGCUGGCGGCAGGCCUAACACAUGCAAGUCGAGCGGUAGCACAGAGAGCUUGCUCUCGGGUGACGAGCGGCGGACGGGUGAGUAAUGUCUGGGAAACUGCCUGAUGGAGGGGGAUAACUACUGGAAACGGUAGCUAAUACCGCAUAAUGUC
RNAcentral lists this ribosomal RNA (184 nucleotides) under Pseudomonas aeruginosa. Its description in RNAcentral is "partial 16S ribosomal RNA". It matches the Rfam family "Bacterial small subunit ribosomal RNA", at positions 1 to 180 of the family's 1533-position model. RNAcentral also lists the same sequence under 1 other name. Lineage: Bacteria; Pseudomonadati; Pseudomonadota; Gammaproteobacteria; Pseudomonadales; Pseudomonadaceae. The record is from RNAcentral.